CCAAAAAUCACCAAGUAACGAAGAGGUAGAAGUUUGCAAGUUUCGAAAAGGUUGAGUGUAAUCGCUGUUGUAGAGUUGUGAGAAAACCCUAAUAGAUACAAAGGAUUAGUGAACCGUAAUCGAUGUUGUAGAGUUGCGAGAAAAAGGAAGAAGUCUCACAAGUCACAAGAAAACCUUAAUCGAUGUUCAUUCACAAGCUUCCCUCACCAACUCUUGUUUCCCCCAUUUUUCAUUCAGAAACCAGAAUAAUCAAGCGAGAGAGAGAAGAGAGCGUUAUUGUUUUGCGCAUGCGAGAGAGAGAAGAGGAACAAAGUUUGUGAGAGAGUAAAGAGGAAUAAUAUUGUUUGCUGAGAAGAGAGACUAGAAAGGAAUAAAGUGUGAGAGAGAAAGAGAAGAAAGGAUUUUGCCGAGAAGAAACGCUAGCGCGAGGCAAAAU
This 436-nucleotide long non-coding RNA is filed under the name Cicer arietinum (chickpea). Its description in RNAcentral is "long non-coding RNA (CARI_LNC003768)". Lineage: Eukaryota; Viridiplantae; Streptophyta; Magnoliopsida; Fabales; Fabaceae. The record is from RNAcentral.